This 254-nucleotide ribosomal RNA is filed under the name uncultured bacterium. Its description in RNAcentral is "partial 16S ribosomal RNA". It matches the Rfam family "Bacterial small subunit ribosomal RNA", at positions 524 to 776 of the family's 1533-position model. The record is from RNAcentral.
UACGGGGGGGGCAAGCGUUGUUCGGAAUUACUGGGCGUAAAGAGCUCGUAGGCGGUUUGUCGCGUCUGCCGUGAAAACCCGAGGCUUAACCUCGUGGCUUGCGGUGGAUACGGGCAGACUAGAGGUAGGUAGGGGAGAAUGGAAUUCCCGGUGUAGCGGUGAAAUGCGCAGAUAUCGGGAGGAACACCGGUGGCGAAGGCGGUUCUCUGGGCCUUACCUGACGCUGAGGAGCGAAAGCGUGGGGAGCGAACAGG